GGGUGAUCUGGCUGUGACACCUGUCGCCCCAUUGACCAUCAAGAUUGAUUGGCUGAUAUGGCUGGGGAGGCAGCUCCGUAUGUGUUCCUCCUGCAGCUGCAUGCUUGGUUGCUGGGUCAAAGAGGAUGGUCUUCCCCCAACAGAGAUGGACUGUUGUUCCAUUGAGGGCAUAUGAUUCAGGUCAGCUUCUGUGAAGAUUAAUUCAAGUUUUGGUGCACAUUUACUGUAACCACAAAAGUUGGUAAAAACAAGCCUUUAUAUUUUGAAGGGCCACACCAGUCAGGGCUCAAGUGUUAGUCCCCAUUC
Molecule: small nuclear RNA, 306 nt
Filed under: Sorex araneus (European shrew)
Lineage: Eukaryota; Metazoa; Chordata; Mammalia; Eulipotyphla; Soricidae
Description: 7SK RNA (ENSSARG00000019440.1)
Rfam family: 7SK RNA (bases 1-239)
About the family: 7SK was discovered as an abundant small nuclear RNA in the mid-70s but a possible function has only recently been suggested. Two independent studies have found that 7SK RNA binds the CDK9/cyclin T complex (known as elongation factor P-TEFb). P-TEFb activates transcription by phosphorylating the C-terminal domain of RNA polymerase II.
Source: RNAcentral